GUCUUGGUCAAUUAGAGGAAGUAAAAGUCGUAACAAGGUUUCCGUAGGUGAACCUGCGGAAGGAUCAUUAUUGAAAUCCCAAAGUGAGAAGUUGUAGCUGGCCUCUCUCGAGGCAUGUGCACACUUUGAUCUUCAUUUCAUACACCCUUUGUGCACCUUUUGUAGAGAGAAUGGCUAUCCGCUGUUCUUUCUAUGUCUUUGAACACACCCCUGCAAUAUGUCAUAGAAUGUAUUAUAAUUUGCUUGCUGUAACAGGCAAUCAAAAGUUUUAAAUAUAACUUUCAACAACGGAUCUCUUGGCUCUCGCAUCGAUGAAGAACGCAGCGAAAUGCGAUAAGUAAUGUGAAUUGCAGAAUUCAGUGAAUCAUCGAAUCUUUGAACGCACCUUGCGCUCCUCGGUUUUCCGAGGAGCAUGCCUGUUUGAGUGUCAUUAAAUUCUCAACUCUUCAUGCUUUUAUGUUUGAAGGGCUUGGAUUGUGGGGUGUGCUGGCGAAAGUCGGCUCCUCUCGAAUGCAUUAGUGGGACUCUAUGCCGCUACGGAUGGUGUGAUAAUUAUCUACGCCUGAGCUGUGGAUGGCUUCUCAACGAGAUCCUGCUUCCAACCGUCUUCGGACAAACUUAACUUUGACUUUUGACCUCAGAUCAGGUAGGAUUACCCGCUGAACUUAAGCAUAUCAAUA
Molecule: ribosomal RNA, 680 nt
Filed under: Amylocorticiales sp. UC2022803
Lineage: Eukaryota; Fungi; Basidiomycota; Agaricomycetes; Amylocorticiales
Description: eukaryotic LSU rRNA
Rfam family: 5.8S ribosomal RNA (bases 277-430)
Source: RNAcentral